CGACUUAACUGAACCUUCGGGGGACGUUAAGGGCGUCGAGCGGCGGACGGGUGAGUAAUGCCUGGGAAUAUGCCUUGAUGUGGGGGAUAACCAUUGGAAACGAUGGCUAAUACCGCAUAAUCUCUUCGGAGCAAAGAGGGGGACCUUCGGGCCUCUCGCGUCAAGAUUAGCCCAGGUGGGAUUAGCUAGUUGGUGAGGUAAUGGCUCACCAAGGCGACGAUCCCUAGCUGGUCUGAGAGGAUGAUCAGCCACACUGGAACUGAGACACGGUCCAGACUCCUACGGGAGGCAGCAGUGGGGAAUAUUGCACAAUGGGCGCAAGCCUGAUGCAGCCAUGCCGCGUGUGUGAAGAAGGCCUUCGGGUUGUAAAGCACUUUCAGCAGUGAGGAAGGUGGUGUCGUUAAUAGCGGCAUCAUUUGACGUUAGCUGCAGAAGAAGCACCGGCUAACUCCGUGCCAGCAGCCGCGGUAAUACGGAGGGUGCGAGCGUUAAUCGGAAUUACUGGGCGUAAAGCGCAUGCAGGUGGUUUGUUAAGUCAGAUGUGAAAGCCCGGGGCUCAACCUCGGAACCGCAUUUGAAACUGGCAGGCUAGAGUACUGUAGAGGGGGGUAGAAUUUCAGGUGUAGCGGUGAAAUGCGUAGAGAUCUGAAGGAAUACCGGUGGCGAAGGCGGCCCCCUGGACAGAUACUGACACUCAGAUGCGAAAGCGUGGGGAGCAAACAGGAUUAGAUACCCUGGUAGUCCACGCCGUAANCGAUGUCUACUUGGAGGUUGUGGCCUUGAGCCGUGGCUUUCGGAGCUAACGCGUUAAGUAGACCGCCUGGGGAGUACGGUCGCAAGAUUAAAACUCAAAUGAAUUGACGGGGGCCCGCACAAGCGGUGGAGCAUGUGGUUUAAUUCGAUGCAACGCGAAGAACCUUACCUACUCUUGACAUCCAGAGAACUUUCCAGAGAUGGAUUGGUGCCUUCGGGAACUCUGAGACAGGUGCUGCAUGGCUGUCGUCAGCUCGUGUUGUGAAAUGUUGGGUUAAGUCCCGCAACGAGCGCAACCCUUAUCCUUGUUUGCCAGCGAGUAAUGUCGGGAACUCCAGGGA
Molecule: ribosomal RNA, 1094 nt
Filed under: Vibrio sp.
Lineage: Bacteria; Pseudomonadati; Pseudomonadota; Gammaproteobacteria; Vibrionales; Vibrionaceae
Description: bacterial SSU rRNA
Rfam family: Bacterial small subunit ribosomal RNA
Source: RNAcentral